RNAcentral lists this ribosomal RNA (250 nucleotides) under uncultured bacterium. RNAcentral describes it as "partial 16S ribosomal RNA". It matches the Rfam family "Bacterial small subunit ribosomal RNA", at positions 524 to 773 of the family's 1533-position model. The record is from RNAcentral.
UACAGAGGGUGCGAGCGUUGUCCGGAAUCACUGGGCGUAAAGGGCGCGUAGGCGGCCCGAUAAGUAGGGGGUGAAAUCUUGCGGCUUAACCGCAAGGCUGCCUCCUAGACUGUCGGGCUCGAGCACGGCAGAGGCUGGUGGAAUUCCCGGUGUAGCGGUGGAAUGCGUAGAGAUCGGGAAGAACAUCGGUGGCGAAGGCGGCCAGCUGGGCCGUUGCUGACGCUGAGGCGCGACAGCGUGGGGAGCAAAC